RNAcentral lists this ribosomal RNA (518 nucleotides) under uncultured bacterium. RNAcentral describes it as "bacterial SSU rRNA". It matches the Rfam family "Bacterial small subunit ribosomal RNA", at positions 10 to 518 of the family's 1533-position model. The record is from RNAcentral.
AGUUUGAUUAUGGCUCAGGAUGAACGCUAGCUACAGGCUUAACACAUGCAAGUCGAGGGGCAGCAUGAUCUAGCUUGCUAGAAUUGAUGGCGACCGGCGCACGGGUGAGUAACGCGUAUCCAACCUUCCCUAUAGUAGAGGAUAGCCCGGCGAAAGUCGGAUUAAUACUCUAUGUUGUUCAAUGCGGACAUCUAAGUUGAACCAAAGGUUUACCGCUAUAGGAUGGGGAUGCGUCUGAUUAGAUGGUAGGCGGGGUAACGGCCCACCUAGUCGACGAUCAGUAGGGGUUCUGAGAGGAAGGUCCCCCACAUUGGAACUGAGACACGGUCCAAACUCCUACGGGAGGCAGCAGUGAGGAAUAUUGGUCAAUGGGCGAGAGCCUGAACCAGCCAAGUAGCGUGCAGGAUGACGGCCCUAUGGGUUGUAAACUGCUUUUAUAUAGGGAUAAAGUGCACCACGUGUGGUGUUUUGUAGGUACUAUAUGAAUAAGGACCGGCUAAUUCCGUGCCAGCAGCCGC